RNAcentral lists this ribosomal RNA (253 nucleotides) under uncultured bacterium. RNAcentral's name for it is "partial 16S ribosomal RNA". It matches the Rfam family "Bacterial small subunit ribosomal RNA", at positions 524 to 776 of the family's 1533-position model. The record is from RNAcentral.
UACAGAGGUCUCAAGCGUUGUUCGGAUUCAUUGGGCGUAAAGGGUGCGUAGGCGGCGCGGUAAGUCGGAUGUGAAAUCUCGGAGCUUAACUUCGAAACUGCAUUCGAUACUGCCGUGCUUGGGGACUGGAGAGGAGACUGGAAUUUACGGUGUAGCGGUGAAAUGCGUAGAUAUCGUAAGGAAGACCAGUGGCGAAGGCGGGUCUCUGGACAGUUCCUGACGCUGAGGCACGAAGGUCAGGGGAGCAAACGGG